CAGGGUCUUGACAUCCAACUAACGAGAUAGAGAUAUGUUAGGUGCCCUUCGGGGAAAGUUGAGACAGGUGGUGCAUGGUUGUCGUCAGCUCGUGUCGUGAGAUGUUGGGUUAAGUCCCGCAACGAGCGCAACCCCUGCCAUUAGUUGCUACGCAAGAGCACUCUAAUGGGACCGCUACCGACAAGGUGGAGGAAGGUGGGGACGACGUCAAAUCAUCAUGCCCCUUAUGACCUGGGCUACACACGUAAUACAAUGGCCGUUAACAGAGGGAAGCAAUACAGCGAUGUGGAGCAAAACCCUAAAAACGGUCUCAGUUCGGAUUGUAGGCUGCAACCCGCCUACAUGAAGUUGGAAUUGCUAGUAAUCGCGGAUCAGCAUGCCGCGGUGAAUACGUUCCC
RNAcentral lists this ribosomal RNA (398 nucleotides) under uncultured bacterium. Its description in RNAcentral is "bacterial SSU rRNA". It matches the Rfam family "Bacterial small subunit ribosomal RNA", at positions 974 to 1375 of the family's 1533-position model. The record is from RNAcentral.